Molecule: transfer RNA, 71 nt
Filed under: bacterium
Lineage: Bacteria
Description: tRNA-Gln
Rfam family: tRNA
About the family: Transfer RNA (tRNA) molecules are approximately 80 nucleotides in length. Their secondary structure includes four short double-helical elements and three loops (D, anti-codon, and T loops).
Source: RNAcentral
UGGGGCGUAGCCAAGCGGUAAGGCAGGGGCCUUUGGAGCCUCGAUCGAUGGUUCGAAUCCAUCCGCCCCAG